GCCCCUUUAGCUCAGCCGGCUGAGCGUUAGACUUUUAAUCUAACGGCCGGGGGCG
Non-coding RNA from Steinernema glaseri, 55 nucleotides. NCBI's taxonomy places the organism in Eukaryota, Metazoa, Nematoda, Chromadorea, Rhabditida, Steinernematidae. The record is from Rfam.